RNAcentral lists this ribosomal RNA (301 nucleotides) under uncultured bacterium. RNAcentral's name for it is "partial 16S ribosomal RNA". It matches the Rfam family "Bacterial small subunit ribosomal RNA", at positions 509 to 807 of the family's 1533-position model. The record is from RNAcentral.
CAGUAGCCGCGGUAAUACCGAGGGUGCGAGCGUUAAUAGGAUUUACUGGGCGUAAAGCGUGCGUAGGCGGCUUCUUAAGUCGGAUGUGAAAUCCCUGAGCUUAACUUAGGAAUUGCAUUCGAUACUGGGAAGCUAGAGUAUGGGAGAGGAUGGUAGAAUUCCAGGUGUAGCGGUGAAAUGCGUAGAGAUCUGGAGGAAUACCGAUGGCGAAGGCAGCCAUCUGGCCUAAUACUGACGCUGAGGUACGAAAGCAUGGGGAGCAAACAGGAUUAGAUACCCGUGUAGUCCCUGUCUCUUAUAC